GAAAUGCGAUAACUAAUGUGAAUUGCAGAAUUCAGUGAAUCAUCGAGUCUUUGAACGCACAUUGCGCCCCCUGGUAUUCCGGGGGGCAUGCCUGUCCGAGCGUCAUUGCUGCACUCAAGCCCGGCUUGGGUGUUGGGUCGCCGUCCCCCUCUCCGGGGGGACGGGCCCGAAAGGCAGCGGCGGCACCGCGUCCGAUCCUCGAGCGUAUGGGGCUUUGUCACAUGCUCUGUAGGAUUGGCCGGCGCCUGCCGACGUUUUCCAACCAUUUUUUCCAGGUUGACCUCGGAUCAGGUAGGGAUACCCGCUGAACUUAAGC
This 316-nucleotide unclassified non-coding RNA is filed under the name plant metagenome. Its description in RNAcentral is "partial contains 5.8S ribosomal RNA, internal transcribed spacer 2, and large subunit ribosomal RNA". The stretch from base 1 to 105 matches the Rfam family "5.8S ribosomal RNA", at positions 50 to 154 of the family's 154-position model. The record is from RNAcentral.